GAGCGUAUAGCUUAAUGGAUAAAGCAAUUGUCUAACUAACAAUCAGAUGCGGGUUCGAGUCCCGCUACGAAAACAA
RNAcentral lists this transfer RNA (76 nucleotides) under Eubacterium sp. CAG76_36_125. RNAcentral describes it as "tRNA-Val". The stretch from base 4 to 69 matches the Rfam family "tRNA". Rfam says of the family: Transfer RNA (tRNA) molecules are approximately 80 nucleotides in length. Their secondary structure includes four short double-helical elements and three loops (D, anti-codon, and T loops). Further hydrogen bonds mediate the characteristic L-shaped molecular structure. tRNAs have two regions of fundamental functional importance: the anti-codon, which is responsible for specific mRNA codon recognition, and the 3' end, to which the tRNAs corresponding amino acid is attached (by aminoacyl-tRNA synthetases). tRNAs cope with the degeneracy of the genetic code in two manners: having more than one tRNA (with a specific anti-codon) for a particular amino acid; and 'wobble' base-pairing, i.e. permitting non-standard base-pairing at the 3rd anti-codon position. The record is from RNAcentral. RNAcentral also lists the same sequence under 1 other name. Lineage: Bacteria; Bacillati; Bacillota; Clostridia; Eubacteriales; Eubacteriaceae.